This 77-nucleotide small RNA is filed under the name Salmonella enterica. RNAcentral's name for it is "partial RtT sRNA". It matches the Rfam family "RtT RNA", at positions 1 to 76 of the family's 130-position model. From Rfam's summary of the family: This family represents a bacterial cis-regulatory element known as RtT RNA. The exact function of RtT is unknown although it is thought that it may be involved in changing the cellular response in relation to amino acid starvation. Lineage: Bacteria; Pseudomonadati; Pseudomonadota; Gammaproteobacteria; Enterobacterales; Enterobacteriaceae. The record is from RNAcentral.
UAUCUCUCCGUACGGGGAAGGAUGAGAAGCUUCGACUAAGGUUCGAUUCGAGCGCAGCGAGAAAACGUUGCCGCAGG